This 635-nucleotide long non-coding RNA is filed under the name Carassius auratus (goldfish). Its description in RNAcentral is "lncRNA (ENSCARG00000056343.1)". The record is from RNAcentral. Lineage: Eukaryota; Metazoa; Chordata; Actinopteri; Cypriniformes; Cyprinidae.
AUGAAACAAUUCAUUCUAACACAAUGUCUGGUUUUCAGUGAGUCGGAGAAGAGAGUGACUGAUAAGAAGCCAACAGGAACGGUGUCGCCUCCGACAGGAAGUCCCACUCCAGAGCUCCGCCCUCAUCAGUGCAACACAACACAAUGGCCAGACACCUGGGUGUGGACACUUCCAUGCUCCGUAGAGCCAUCUGGAACUAUAUUCAGGGCAAGUUUGGGAUUCGGUCCAAGGCCAGGUGAAUCAUUAAAAAAAAGAAACACACUUCCACUUGUAUGUACGGAAUACGAUACGAUGACUACGGCUACAGCAGUGGGCGGUUUAACAUACGCUUCUGGCAUGUGUGCGCUGAGAUGCUGGACCAGAGGAGGACAGACAUGCUGUACGGACAUGCCGUCUCUCCACUACUCACAGUUUGCAUUCAUGCUGUCAAUGUACCAAGACCAGGCAAUCUGAACAAGUUGGUCUGAAAACGGUGUAUCCGGAGUGUAAAAGGGAUCGACAAGUAAAUGGACAAAUCCACAACAAUGUUAGCCAUGCCCAGUAAAUCUGCAUUCAUGCUGUCAACAUACCAGACUGGCCCUGUGGCGAUUGUAACUGAGAACGGAAUGUUCCUGCUUCAUGGAUUAGUCCACUUG